UCCGGUUUGGCACCGGCAGUCUCUCUAGAGUGCCCGGCAUGACCCGCUGGUAACUAGAGACGGGGGUUGCGCUCGUUGCGGGACUUAACCCAACAUCUCACGACACGAGCUGACGACAGCCAUGCAGCACCUGUGCACGGACUCCGAAGAGGGCCCGCCGUUUCUGGCGGGUUUCCCGUGCAUGUCAAGCCCAGGUAAGGUUCUUCGCGUUGCGUCGAAUUAAACCACAUGCUCCACUGCUUGUGCGGGUCCCCGUCAAUUCCUUUGAGUUUUAGCCUUGCGGCCGUACUCCCCAGGCGGGGUGCUUAAUGCGUUAGCUGCGGCACCGCAGGGGUCAAAGCCCGCGACACCUAGCACCCAUCGUUUACGGCGUGGACUAC
RNAcentral lists this unclassified non-coding RNA (380 nucleotides) under uncultured bacterium. RNAcentral describes it as "contains 16S-23S intergenic spacer region". The record is from RNAcentral.